Molecule: ribosomal RNA, 619 nt
Filed under: uncultured bacterium
Lineage: Bacteria
Description: bacterial SSU rRNA
Rfam family: Bacterial small subunit ribosomal RNA
Source: RNAcentral
CCUACGGGAGGCAGCAGUGGGGAAUUUUGGACAAUGGGCGCAAGCCUGAUCCAGCAAUGCCGCGUGAGUGAAGAAGGCCUUCGGGUUGUAAAGCUCUUUUGUCAGGGAAGAAACGGUCUACUCUAAUACAGUGGGCUAAUGACGGUACCUGAAGAAUAAGCACCGGCUAACUACGUGCCAGCAGCCGCGGUAAUACGUAGGGUGCAAGCGUUAAUCGGAAUUACUGGGCGUAAAGCGUGCGCAGGCGGUUAUAUAAGUCAGAUGUGAAAUCCCCGGGCUCAACCUGGGAACUGCAUUUGAGACUGUAUGGCUAGAGUGUGUCAGAGGGGGGUAGAAUUCCACGUGUAGCAGUGAAAUGCGUAGAUAUGUGGAGGAAUACCGAUGGCGAAGGCAGCCCCCUGGGAUAACACUGACGCUCAUGCACGAAAGCGUGGGGAGCAAACAGGAUUAGAUACCCUGGUAGUCCACGCCCUAAACGAUGUCUACUAGUUGUCGGGACUUAAUUGUCUUGGUAACGCAGCUAACGCGUGAAGUAGACCGCCUGGGGAGUACGGUCGCAGNUUAAAACUCAAAUGAAUUGACGGNGUGAGACGAGCGACGACGACGACGAGGGAGGAGG